UGAACGCUGGCGGCAUGCCUUACACAUGCAAGUCGAACGGUAACGCGGGGCAACCUGGCGACGAGUGGCGAACGGGUGAGUAAUGCAUCGGAACGUGCCCAGUAGUGGGGGAUAGCCCGGCGAAAGCCGGAUUAAUACCGCAUACGACCUAAGGGUGAAAGCGGGGGAUCGCAAGACCUCGCGCUAUUGGAGCGGCCGAUGUCAGAUUAGGUAGUUGGUGAGGUAAAGGCUCACCAAGCCUACGAUCUGUAGCUGGUCUGAGAGGACGACCAGCCACACUGGGACUGAGACACGGCCCAGACUCCUACGGGAGGCAGCAGUGGGGAAUUUUGGACAAUGGGCGCAAGCCUGAUCCAGCCAUGCCGCGUGCGGGAAGAAGGCCUUCGGGUUGUAAACCGCUUUUGUCAGGGAAGAAACGCUCUGGGAUAAUACCCUGGGGUAAUGACGGUACCUGAAGAAUAAGCACCGGCUAACUAC
Molecule: ribosomal RNA, 477 nt
Filed under: uncultured bacterium
Lineage: Bacteria
Description: bacterial SSU rRNA
Rfam family: Bacterial small subunit ribosomal RNA
Source: RNAcentral